Molecule: ribosomal RNA, 508 nt
Filed under: uncultured bacterium
Lineage: Bacteria
Description: partial 16S ribosomal RNA
Rfam family: Bacterial small subunit ribosomal RNA
Source: RNAcentral
GAUGAACGCUAGCUACAGGCUUAACACAUGCAAGUCGAGGGGAAACGAUAGAGAAGGCUUGCUUUUUCUAGGCGUCGACCGGCGCACGGGUGAGUAACGCGUAUCCAACCUGCCCACCACUUGGGGAUAACCUUGCGAAAGUAAGACUAAUACCCAAUGACAUCUCUAGAAGACAUCUGAAGGAGAUUAAAGAUUUAUCGGUGAUGGAUGGGGAUGCGUCUGAUUAGCUUGUUGGCGGGGUAACGGCCCACCAAGGCGACGAUCAGUAGGGGUUCUGAGAGGAAGGUCCCCCACAGUGGAACUGAGACACGGUCCAAACUCCUACGGGAGGCAGCAGUGAGGAAUAUUGGGCAAUGGGCGAGAGCCUGAACCAGCCAAGUAGCGUGCAGGAUGACGGCCCUAUGGGUUGUAAACUGCUUUUAUAAGGGAAUAAAGUGAGCCUCGUGAGGCUUUUUGCAUGUACCUUAUGAAUAAGGACCGGCUAAUUCCGUGCCAGCCGCCGCGGUAA